RNAcentral lists this unclassified non-coding RNA (2832 nucleotides) under Rhagoletis pomonella (apple maggot). RNAcentral's name for it is "zinc finger protein ubi-d4 A, transcript variant X3". The record is from RNAcentral. Lineage: Eukaryota; Metazoa; Arthropoda; Insecta; Diptera; Tephritidae.
ACAGAUAAGUAUCGGGCAUAUCCAGUUGGAGACGCACCUGAUGUUUUUUAGCUUUUGGCAAGUUAUUCUCCUAUAAGCAUUGAAAAAUGUAUUUUUAAAAGGGAAAUAUUGUGAUUUUAUUUAUUUUAAAACAAAUUAUAAGUAUUAAAAGUGAUCGUGAACAAAUAUCGGUCGCUCUGGAUCAGUUUAAAACCUUGGGGGUACUUUGAAAAACAACCUUCGAUUGGAUAUCUCUACCACCAGACUGUUUGUGCAAACCGACUCAUUAACAUAUACAUACGUAAAAGCAGUCCAUUCAACUUUUGUAAAAACCCACAGUGAUUAAUAAAAGGAACAAUGGCUUCCGAUAUAGAAAUUGCAAACCUCAACAACUUUGAAAAAAUACAGAACUUUCUCAACGAUUCCGCCUAUAAAGAGAUACUGGAGAAUAGCGAGAACUUCAACACACGUUUGUGCAUUGAACGUCGACUGCGUAUGCCGUUUUUGGAUCCGCAGACGGGUGUCGCCCAAACGCAUUGUGCUUUGUUCAUGAAGCAACGUCAACGUAUGCCUGGCUUCCGCGAUGGUCAGAUCUACACGUAUCCAUCAGCUCGUUGGCGUAAACCCAAACGCCAGUACUUACUCAAUCAUCAUCACAGCUAUAGGGCAUACCAGUAUCGUGAGCCUCACUAUCACCAAUCAACCGGUAAUACCUCGGCGCGCGAUCAUUAUCAAGCAGAAAGUGCAGCUAUCGUCGCUGCCGACGGCAAUUCAAUGAGCGCUUCGGGCGAUAACGACAGUAAAGAUUCUCACGCCAAUGCUGAAAAAGAUUGGUUCCACGAGGACAUAGAUAUGUCUCACUAUCACCAUGUUGAUGACUUCGAAGAGGACUUUGAAUCGGACAAUGAUUUCGAUGAAUCGUAUAGUAGCCGUGGCAAACGUAAACGUGGUUCACGCUCCGCUCGCAGGAGCACUGCUGCUGUCGAUGGUACACCAAAGCGGGGUCGCAAAGGAGGCGGUGUGUAUCACGUGGCACAUGAAAAGCAUUUUAUGAAUUUUAAAAGUCAUAAUUACUUGUUUUCUCAUGCAGGCAGUCGUCGUCGCAAUAACGCUGAUGGUGAAGGCGGCGGCCGUCGACGUGGUGGCGCGAGCAAUGCCAACAACAACAAUGCAAACACAGCUGCUGCUGCAGCCGCAGCUGCUGCCGCUGUUGCUGCUGCAGCUAGUGUCGUGGCCUCCAGCAUGGAAGUGAGCAAUUCGAAUUCAGCUUCUCCAAUCGGUACAAACGAUGAAACAUCACAGUCUGCAAUAGUAAUACCACCUGGAACGGCAACUGCUGCUGGUACAACAUUUGACAAGACUUUAAGCGAAGCUAAUAUAGUUGCUGCUGCUGCUGGAAGUGUUGCUGAGACCGCAACGCCUGUACUACCCAGUACAAGUGUCGUUAGUGGUGCUGCAAGCGCUACCACGGCACCAUCCGUCACUCCUCCAACGACAGUAGCAGCAAGUGCAGUCACACCACCAGUAGUAGCCGUUACUGCAGUGAAGAAAGAUCUUAAAAAUAAAAUGCGUGCUGAUCGUGAGGUUGCAACUCCUUCAACCUAUUGCGACUUCUGUUUGGGCGAUCAACGCGAGAAUAAGAAGACCAACUUGCCGGAGGAAUUAGUUUCGUGUUCGGAUUGUGGCCGCUCCGGUCAUCCAUCUUGCCUACAAUUUACACCAAAUAUGAUAAUCUCAGUGAAGCGUUAUCGCUGGCAAUGCAUCGAAUGCAAAUAUUGUUCCAUUUGUGGGACUUCGGAUAAUGACGAUCAAUUGCUUUUCUGCGAUGACUGCGAUCGUGGUUAUCAUAUGUAUUGUUUGUCACCUCCAUUGAUAACACCACCGGAAGGAUCAUGGAGCUGUAAACUUUGUAUGGAAGAGUUCCAUAAAGAUGAGAAAUAAUGGAACUACACAAUGGAGCAACGACUUCCAAUGAACACUGCUUCCAAUAGAACAGCCACAAUGAAAACAGCCGGAGUUGAAUUGAUGUACACCGAUAUCUGGACUUUGUUGAUCUUCUGAAAUUGACACGAAAGAGUUGCAUUGAUUCAUUGAUCAGCAGUUCUCGUUUAGAAUUUUCUAUUUGAUUUAAACGCAUCAGGUAUUCCUUAGCGCCGCUAACUCAGUUCACAAAACCUUGCAGAGUUUACAUGCAAACUUUGUUUUAUUUUAAAAAUAAUUGUAUAAGCUGAAAACUUCACAAGACGGCAACUUUUCGUAUGUAUUUUAGAUUUUAAAUUAGUCUUAAGUUAUCAUGUCACUUAUGCCGCUAACAAUCUACGCAGUUGGCUCCUUGGUAAAUUAGUAUUGCAUUAAGCAUCGCCCAAUUCAUCGUCCUCAAGUAUUUUAGUAUAUUUCUUCUAUGUAUAUUCUUGUAAAUUUUGUUUGUACUAAAUACAAAUAGGUAUUGCAAAGUGUAAUUGGCUUGAUCCUAUUCGUAAGGUUUUCUGCUUACGUAGUUUAUUUCAAAACAGUUUUGUGUUUAUAUUCAGACAGGUUCUGCAAUUCGCUUCCGAGUGUAUUUCAACCACUGCCAAUUUGAAUUCAAAGCGUAUUUGAUUGAAAUUCAUUUGGAAGUUGAUUGUAGAACCUGCCCCAUUAAAAUAAGUUCCUUUUUCGAAAAUAUGUAUUUCUGUAAAGAUUUCUAAGCAAAACAAAGUACCACAAAAAUAUUAUUUCGAAUAAUAAAUCCAUAUACAAUCAUAUAUAAGCAUAUAACCGUACGAUCCAAUGGAAAAUAAUGUAUUUCAUAAAUAUUUAUUGGAAUAUAAUCGCCGUCAUUGAGCAAUAAUAAUAAAUCAUGACUAAACCCAA